GGCGCCAUUUAAGGUACCCCAUGUUACCUAACACUUAAGAAAUUAUCAGUUGGGCCACAGUUACCUCUGUAGGCCAAAGCGGCAGAAAGGCAACUGGAGUGUUCUGGCAAUCAGGUUUACAGUUGAAAGCCUUAAGCAAAAGAAGACUGACUUCCCCAGAGCAAGAAGGAAUUCCAUCAGCACGCUGCCUUUGCAUUGAAGCUGCAGCGUCAACUCCACCCUGGUCUCCAGCCUACCAGCCCACUCUGCAGAUUUGGACUUGCCAGGCUUCACAAUCCUCAUCUCUCCCAUGUUCCAUGAAUUCUCAAGACACCCUCAGGAUGUUUGGUGAAUUACUUG
Long non-coding RNA from Symphalangus syndactylus (siamang), 339 nucleotides. RefSeq lists it as uncharacterized. Lineage: Eukaryota; Metazoa; Chordata; Mammalia; Primates; Hylobatidae. The record is from RefSeq and is a predicted model, not a curated record.